Cordylochernes scorpioides is the source of this 69-nucleotide non-coding RNA. NCBI's taxonomy places the organism in Eukaryota, Metazoa, Arthropoda, Arachnida, Pseudoscorpiones, Chernetidae. The record is from the annotation of a GenBank genome assembly.
CCCAGCCGAGUGGACAAGGCACCUGCCCGGUAAGCAGAAGGGUGUGGGUUCUAUUGCCAAUCUGAGGGU